Molecule: ribosomal RNA, 277 nt
Filed under: uncultured prokaryote
Description: partial 16S ribosomal RNA
Rfam family: Bacterial small subunit ribosomal RNA
Source: RNAcentral
UACGUAGGGGGCUAGCGUUAUCCGGAAUUACUGGGCGUAAAGGGUGCGUAGGUGGUUUCUUAAGUCAGAGGUGAAAGGCUACGGCUCAACCGUAGUAAGCCUUUGAAACUGGGAAACUUGAGUGCAGGAGAGGAGAGUGGAAUUCCUAGUGUAGCGGUGAAAUGCGUAGAUAUUAGGAGGAACACCAGUUGCGAAGGCGGCUCUCUGGUCUGUAACUGACACUGAGGCGCGAAAGCGUGGGGAGCAAACAGGAUUAGAUACCCUGGUAGUCCCUGAG